UUCAGAUGUUCUUUACUCUGAGUGGGUGAC
RNAcentral lists this non-coding RNA (30 nucleotides) under Rattus norvegicus (Norway rat). The record is from RNAcentral. Lineage: Eukaryota; Metazoa; Chordata; Mammalia; Rodentia; Muridae.